RNAcentral lists this ribosomal RNA (293 nucleotides) under uncultured bacterium. Its description in RNAcentral is "partial 16S ribosomal RNA". It matches the Rfam family "Archaeal small subunit ribosomal RNA", at positions 455 to 747 of the family's 1478-position model. The record is from RNAcentral.
GUGCCAGCAGCCGCGGUAAUACCGGCAGCUCGAGUGAUGGCCGAUCUUAUUGGGCCUAAAGCGUUCGUAGCCGGCCACGCAAGUCCAUCGGGAAAUCCGUCAGCCCAACUGACGGGCGUCCGGUGGAAACUGCGUGGCUUGGGACCGGAAGACCCGAAGGGUACGUCUUGGGUAGGAGUGAAAUCCUGUAAUCCUGGACGGACCACCGAUGGCGAAAGCACUUCGAGAAAACGGAUCCGACAGUGAGGGACGAAAGCUAAGAUCGCGAACCGGAUUAGAAACCCCUGUAGUCC